CGGUUGCCCAGGGUAUUUCCUGGGGCAGAGCUCAAGAGUUGAAAGUCCACAGCUUGGGGGUGAAAAGGUUGAAUGUAGGAAUUCGACUACAGACAGACACUAGAUAAACUUGUAUGUGUUCAUCAAUUGAGGACUCGUUUUCAAUACCCUGGAGGAACCCAUUGCUUAAAAGGAACAUGGCAAGAAACCCCUUUGCAUUGUAACAUUGAUUGGGUAUUUGAUUAUUUUUAUGGCUGGUGCAUUUUUAUUUCAAUAAGAUGAUUUGUGCUAAUUCCUGAAAAUAUUUUUGCAAUGUGAUUUAUGAGAGUUAAAGUCAGCUCUGAAUACUGGAUUUUGGAUAAGCUGACAGCAAUGCAGUCUGAUAACAUGUGACUACGCCUAUUCUCUAGUAGCCCCAGGC
Molecule: long non-coding RNA, 400 nt
Organism: Gorilla gorilla gorilla (western lowland gorilla)
Lineage: Eukaryota; Metazoa; Chordata; Mammalia; Primates; Hominidae
Exons: 3
Source: RefSeq, a predicted model, not a curated record